AUGCUCUAGAGACAGACAAUUUUCAGAAGUUUCGUAUGGGGAUGGUUUUAUAUAAAUUUAGGUUUUUCCCACAAUAAUAAAUUUAUUUAGUCUCAGUGCUCAAUAGAAGAGAUUUCUAAUAGAAGAGGAUUCAAACUAUGAAACCAUUUCUCUUUUAAUUUCACAUUCCUGUUACAGAUUUGUUCUCUUGUGACUCUGUUAUCCAUAAUAUGGACAGUUCUUGAGUCCUAACAUUCAGAGGUUUUCCCUCAGUGCGUAUAGGGAAUGAGUAUUAAUUGGAGAAGCUUAAAGUAUUGCCACUUUAGCACUGAAGAUUGGGACGAGAGGAGGUGAAACCUCACUAGAAAAAGGGACAAUGUUAGUGUGGCCCUUCCUGAUCGUGUUUAAGAAAAGUCAUGAAAAUGGUGAACUAGUGUUUCCAAGCAUAUUGGAAGGGUUAAGUGUAUACUGUCUGUCGAAGACUUCCUGCAUUUCCAGGUCCUAGAGAGGAACAAGACUGCACUUGGAUUCAGCUUCUUCAUUUCCAACAUGGAAGAAACUUACACCACAUUUUUUUUCUUAAAUAUCACCU
RNAcentral lists this small RNA (571 nucleotides) under Pongo abelii (Sumatran orangutan). Its description in RNAcentral is "processed transcript". The record is from RNAcentral. Lineage: Eukaryota; Metazoa; Chordata; Mammalia; Primates; Hominidae.